GGCUUCGUAGUUGAGUGCUAAGGACAUUUGCCUCUCACCCUGGAGUCACGGGUUCGAUCCCCGUUCGAGUAGCUA
Rhamnusium bicolor is the source of this 75-nucleotide non-coding RNA. The record is from the annotation of a GenBank genome assembly. Lineage: Eukaryota; Metazoa; Arthropoda; Insecta; Coleoptera; Cerambycidae.